Molecule: unclassified non-coding RNA, 356 nt
Filed under: Athalia rosae (coleseed sawfly)
Lineage: Eukaryota; Metazoa; Arthropoda; Insecta; Hymenoptera; Athaliidae
Description: misc RNA ENSAEAG00005002836.1
Source: RNAcentral
AGAUCGCCUGUCUGUUGAACGAAGGGCCGUGUGAUGACCUCGGAAGAUCUGCCAAAGUUUCGUUGAAGGAGGUACUGAUUAAUAACUGCGCUCGUUGCCAACCACAACAACGUGCAAAUGCUGCUAAGGUUGUGCAAUUCGUAUCAAAGAAUUACCCGAAAGAAUGGGCCCGAUUAGUUAAAUUAUACGGAGGAAACGCUCGACGAUCGUAAUUUGAAGAAGAAAAUUGUGAAUUUUAUUGUCCUGUAUUUUUUUCAAUAAUAUAUUCCUAAUCUGUUACUGCAUACAUCCUAUACAUUGAUUAAAAUUACUCAAUUUUUAUUCAUCGCGUUGACAAUAGAGAAUGACUCGUCUCC